RNAcentral lists this unclassified non-coding RNA (1324 nucleotides) under Hevea brasiliensis (rubber tree). The record is from RNAcentral. Lineage: Eukaryota; Viridiplantae; Streptophyta; Magnoliopsida; Malpighiales; Euphorbiaceae.
GACAAAAAAUAUACAGUGAAGGUAGGACUAACAACUCAUAUUUGCCAAUAGGUUACUAAUUGCCAGUUUAUUGAUAGGUGAACUAGGAAUAUGAGUUUACAGCAUUCCCUUCUAUAGUCAUGAAUGAAUUUCAUUUGUUGGACAUGAAACCUUGCUAAUUUGCUAAGUUGGAACUAUUUUUUACAGAAAAAACUGAAUUUGGAUAGCUGCUAGUGUACGCUAUUGUUGUCUUCUUAUUCUUGACUGCUAGUGGCUUUGCCCAAUCAUAGCCAGUAUGUUCAGUUUAUUUGGUUAUCUAGUGUGUAUAUACUGUUACAUUGGCCGUGUCCUAUGUAAGCUUGACUGUUCCUGGUUAAACAUGUUUAGUGGGGUUGGAGGACCUAGGAUUGGAUGUUGUUAUUAUAACUUGAUGAAUUAUUGGAAUAUAUGGUUCUUGUGUCAUUUGCUAACAAAUUUUUAUAUGGAGAAAUUUUAUUAGCAUCUCAUUUGGAACACCAGCACCGUGCAAGCUUGUGCAUGUGGCUAGGAAUGGCAACAGGGUAUAUUAUCCAUAAAAUUUUCUUUACCCAUUCUUGAAGCUGGUUUAGUAAUUCUAUUAUCUGAACCCAUCUUAGAUCCUACUAAGGUUCAUCCCUUGUUACUUGUAUCUGUGCUAAAUCCGAUUAACACUAUCCGAGCCCCUCUAAACCCAAUAAAUUUUUAUAAUUUUUUGGUUAGUAAUUAUAUAUUUUUUAAAGAACUUGAUGAUCAAUCCUAUAGGAAUAUUUAAAUCUCUUUUUUCUCUUAUGUUAUGGUUGAAAAGUUGAUCCAAAAUGCUAUAAUAAUAUAUGAUUAUGUAUUUACUAGUAAUUUAUGCAUUCAGAUUCAGGUAUGUUUAGGUAGCAGCUGUAUGAUGUACUAAACCCAUAACUUUUCAAAGCACGUUUAUGAAUAUCUAAACUUUGUAUAAUCUGAUUGGGUUGGUCAAGUACCUUAAUAUACCUGACCUGUUGUCUUCUCUUUAUAUGACUUCCGAGCUCUCUCUCUCUGUUCCCUUCACCCCUUGCCACUGUACAAACUGUUAGUUUACUUUUAGUUUUGUUACUAAUUGGUUUCUUCACAUUUCUCUGCUCUAUUCAGGUUUGUGAUUUUGGGCUCUCUCGUCUCAAAGCAAACACAUUUCUUUCAUCCAAGUCAGCAGCGGGGACUGUAAGUGCUGUUAUAAUUAACGACCAGUUGAAUGUGUCUUUGGUUUAAGGUGGUGGACACUGUUUAUUACAAUAUAAGCUUAAUCAUAAUAAUAAUAAUCUCUUCUGCUUUAUUAGCCUGAGUGGAUGGCACCAGA